GACGAACGCUGGCGGCGUGCUUAACACAUGCCAGUCGAACGGAAAGGCCCUGCUUUUGUGGGGUGCUCGAGUGGCGAACGGGUGAGUAACACGUGAGUAACCUGCCCUUGACUUUGGGAUAACUUCAGGAAACUGGGGCUAAUACCGGAUAGGAGCUCCUGCUGCAUGGUGGGGGUUGGAAAGUUUCGGCGGUUGGGGAUGGACUCGCGGCUUAUCAGCUUGUUGGUGGGGUAGUGGCUUACCAAGGCUUUGUCGGGUAGCCGGCCUGAGAGGGUGACCGGCCCCAAUGGGACUGAGGUACGGGCCAGACUCCUACGGGAGGCAACGGGGGGGAAUAAUGGACAAUGGGCGGGAGGCCUGAGCAGCAACGCCGGGGGGGGGAAGACGGCCUUCGGGGUGUAAAACGGCUUCCCCUUUGACGGAGCGUUAAUGACGGUAAUGGGUAAAGAAGCACCGGCUAACUACGUG
Molecule: ribosomal RNA, 468 nt
Filed under: uncultured bacterium
Lineage: Bacteria
Description: partial 16S ribosomal RNA
Rfam family: Bacterial small subunit ribosomal RNA
Source: RNAcentral